Molecule: ribosomal RNA, 468 nt
Filed under: uncultured bacterium
Lineage: Bacteria
Description: partial 16S ribosomal RNA
Rfam family: Bacterial small subunit ribosomal RNA
Source: RNAcentral
GACGAACGCUGGCGGCGUGCUUAACACAUGCAAGUCGAACGGAAAGGCCCUGCUUUUGUGGGGUGCUCGAGUGGCGCACGGGUGAGUAACACGUGAGUAACCUGCCCUUGACUUUGGGAUAACUUCAGGAAACUGGGGCUAAUACCGGAUAGGAGCUCCUGCUGCAUGGUGGGGGUUGGAAAGUUUCGGCGGUUGGGGCUGGACUCGCGGCUUAUCAGCUUGUUUGUGGGGUAGUGGCUUACCAAGGCUUUGACGGGUAGCCGGCCUGAGAGGGUGACCGGCCACAUUGGGACUGAGAUACGGCGCAGACUCCUACGGGAGGCAGCAGUGGGGAAUAUUGCACAAUGGGCGGAAGCCUGAUGCAGCAACGCCGCGUGCGGGAUGACGGCCUUCGGGUUGUAAACCGCUUUCGCCUGUGACGAAGAGUGAGUGACGGUAAUGGGUAAAGAAGCACCGGCUAACUACGUG